This 207-nucleotide unclassified non-coding RNA is filed under the name Hevea brasiliensis (rubber tree). The record is from RNAcentral. Lineage: Eukaryota; Viridiplantae; Streptophyta; Magnoliopsida; Malpighiales; Euphorbiaceae.
CCUGCAGUGUUCGUAGAUUUCUAAAAUCAUAAAUGGAGGGGUGGAAGUCUUUCAUUCGACCAAUUAAGGUCAGGUGACGAGCACUUCUACGCAAUAGAUCCAGCCUUGGCGUAUUUCCCUCAUCAACAUCCAUAAUGAAGCAUUCAUUCUUUGUCAGGAACUGGGCAAAAUCAUGUGCAAUGUCAUGCAUCUUGCAAUUGAUUUUGC